This is a long non-coding RNA of Bombina bombina (fire-bellied toad), 322 nucleotides long. RefSeq lists it as uncharacterized. The transcript is spliced from 2 exons. The record is from RefSeq and is a predicted model, not a curated record. NCBI's taxonomy places the organism in Eukaryota, Metazoa, Chordata, Amphibia, Anura, Bombinatoridae.
GUAAAAUCUAAAAUUUCAUUUUAUACAGUGAUGCAAGAAGAAGAGGUGGACAGACAGGUGCAUGAUGAAAAUAGUUCAAAUGAUUCCUCUGAUACCAUUAAUUAUGACUGGGUACCUGAAGAUCAAAACAUAUUGAUUAACAAGAAACAGUUAUUGGAGAUAUUAAAGAAAGCUGAAAAAGGACUGAAAGAAAACUAUUCAAGUUUGCAUGACAUGCGCCUUAAAAUAGAAAAAAUGUAACAAUACAAUUUGAUUUAUCAUAAUGUGACCAAAUUUUAUUUUUAUUUUUGUGAUAAAAAAUAAAUAUUUAUGUUUAACCGUG